AGUGAACGCUGGCGGCGUGCUUAACACAUGCAAGUCGAACGAGAACGGGUUAUAGCUUGCUAUAAUUGUCAGCUAAGUGGCGCACGGGUGAGUAAUGUAUAGGUAAUAUGCCUCUUACUAAGGGAUAACAAAUGGAAACGUUUGCUAAUACCUUAUACUCCUUAUUAACAGAAGUUAAUAAGGGAAAGAUUUAUUGGUAAGAGAUUAGCCUGUAUUGUAUCAGUUAGUUGGUGUGGUAAUGGCUUACCAAGACUAUGACACAUAACUGGUUUGAGAGCAUGACCCGGCUCACUGGGACUGAGACACUGCCCAGACUCCUACGGGAGGCUGCAGUCAAGAAUAUUCCUCAAUGCCCGCAAGGGUGAAGGAGCGACGCCGCGUGUAUGAUGACGCCCCUCGGGGUGUAAAGUACUUUUAUUAGGGACGAAUCAAUGACGGUACCUAAUGAAUAAGUGGUUGCUAACUCUGUGCCAGCAGCCGCGGUAA
RNAcentral lists this ribosomal RNA (486 nucleotides) under uncultured bacterium. RNAcentral describes it as "partial 16S ribosomal RNA". It matches the Rfam family "Bacterial small subunit ribosomal RNA", at positions 29 to 523 of the family's 1533-position model. The record is from RNAcentral.